This 483-nucleotide ribosomal RNA is filed under the name uncultured bacterium. RNAcentral's name for it is "partial 16S ribosomal RNA". It matches the Rfam family "Bacterial small subunit ribosomal RNA", at positions 30 to 507 of the family's 1533-position model. The record is from RNAcentral.
UUGAACGCUGGCGGCAGGCCUAACACAUGCAAGUCGAGCGGAUGAAGGGAGCUUGCUCCUGGAUUCAGCGGCGGACGGGUGAGUAAUGCCUAGGAAUCUGCCUGGUAGUGGGGGAUAACGUCCGGAAACGGGCGCUAAUACCGCAUACGUCCUGAGGGAGAAAGUGGGGGAUCUUCGGACCUCACGCUAUCAGAUGAGCCUAGGUCGGAUUAGCUAGUUGGUGGGGUAAAGGCCUACCAAGGCGACGAUCCGUAACUGGUCUGAGAGGAUGAUCAGUCACACUGGAACUGAGACACGGUCCAGACUCCUACGGGAGGCAGCGGUGGGGAAUAUUGGACAAUGGGCGAAAGCCUGAUCCAGCCAUGCCGCGUGUGUGAAGAAGGUCUUCGGAUUGUAAAGCACUUUAAGUUGGGAGGAAGGGCAGUAAGUUAAUACCUUGCUGUUUUGACGUUACCAACAGAAUAAGCACCGGCUAACUUCGUG